GGGGAUUUUGCUCUCUACGCCAACAAACCAACCACGACAGCCUGAAACAGGCUGGGGAUGCUUCGAGGGCAUUUGAGGGAUUUCUCUACUUUGGAGGCACCAGGGGGUGCAAGUCUGAGAAGAUACAGCAAGUUCUAAGCCAGUUUCAGAAAGAACUGAUGCAAUCAGACCCAAUCUCCGACCCCGAUUUUUAAACAAAACCAGCUGAGGCAGUGACUCUGGUCAGCUCUGAAAACCCGACAUGCUUCUGCCAUUGCUAUAACUUAUGAGAAACUUUCAUAUUGGAGCCU
Rattus rattus (black rat) is the source of this 290-nucleotide long non-coding RNA. RefSeq lists it as uncharacterized. NCBI's taxonomy places the organism in Eukaryota, Metazoa, Chordata, Mammalia, Rodentia, Muridae. The transcript has 3 exons. The record is from RefSeq and is a predicted model, not a curated record.